GCCCAGCUAGCUCAGUUGGUAGAGCAUGGGACUCAAUCUCAGGAUUUUGGGUUUGAGCCCCAUGCUGGGUG
This 71-nucleotide transfer RNA is filed under the name Pangasianodon gigas (Mekong giant catfish). RNAcentral describes it as "tRNA-Sec". It matches the Rfam family "tRNA". Rfam says of the family: Transfer RNA (tRNA) molecules are approximately 80 nucleotides in length. Their secondary structure includes four short double-helical elements and three loops (D, anti-codon, and T loops). Lineage: Eukaryota; Metazoa; Chordata; Actinopteri; Siluriformes; Pangasiidae. The record is from RNAcentral.